AGUGAACGCUGGCGGUAGGCCUAACACAUGCAAGUCGAACGGCAGCACAGUAAGAGCUUGCUCUUACGGGUGGCGAGUGGCGGACGGGUGAGGAAUACAUCGGAAUCUACUUUUUCGUGGGGGAUAACGUAGGGAAACUUACGCUAAUACCGCAUACGACCUACGGGUGAAAGCAGGGGAUCUUCGGACCUUGCGCGAUUGAAUGAGCCGAUGUCGGUUUAGCUAGUUGGCGGGGUAAAGGCCCACCAAGGCGACGAUCCGUAGCUGGUCUGAGAGGAUGGUCAGCCACACUGGAACUGAGACACGGUCCAGACGCCUACGGGAGGCAGCAGUGGGGAAUAUUGGACAAUGGGCGCAAGCCUGAUCCAGCCAUACCGCGUGGGUGAAGAAGGCCUUCGGGGUGUAAAGCCCUUUUGUUGGGAAAGAAACGCAGCAGGUUAAUACCCCGCUGUUCUGACGGUACCCAAAGAAUAAGCACCGGCUAACUUCGUG
This 492-nucleotide ribosomal RNA is filed under the name uncultured bacterium. Its description in RNAcentral is "partial 16S ribosomal RNA". It matches the Rfam family "Bacterial small subunit ribosomal RNA", at positions 29 to 507 of the family's 1533-position model. The record is from RNAcentral.